GGAAACGCUUCAGUGGGAAUUAUUCAUGACGAUGGUGCUACUUUCAACGGCGUACGCGGCACAGCACUUCAAGUAGCACUUCUCAUAGGAGCCUAUAAGGAUAAUGGCAAGUGGGGGGAAUGUCCUGAAAAUGAAGAGCAAUACCUGACAGCCAACUCGAGAGGCGGCCGCAAACCGUACCUGUCUGAUUGCAGCAGAGAGUCAGUUCGAGACUUCUAUUAUCGUGUCAACGACGGCAAACACAUUCUUUGCUGGAAUGACAAACCAAAGCCUGCUCUCCAGAAUAAUAUUGGUUUUCCCGUGGAAUUCUACAGACUCUUCGAUUGCGAUCAAUGCCAUGUUGCAGAACACUUAAAAAAUAAUACUGGCAAACCAAUAAAU
This is a long non-coding RNA of Rhipicephalus sanguineus (brown dog tick), 381 nucleotides long. RefSeq lists it as uncharacterized. Lineage: Eukaryota; Metazoa; Arthropoda; Arachnida; Ixodida; Ixodidae. The record is from RefSeq and is a predicted model, not a curated record. The transcript is spliced from 3 exons.